Long non-coding RNA from Styela clava, 263 nucleotides. RefSeq lists it as uncharacterized. NCBI's taxonomy places the organism in Eukaryota, Metazoa, Chordata, Ascidiacea, Stolidobranchia, Styelidae. The record is from RefSeq and is a predicted model, not a curated record.
CAGAAAACCGACUGAGACAAGAGUUUGCAUGUGUUCCACGGACCGGAGGUCUUUCGCGAAUUACUGCCUCGAUUUGCGACGGGAGAGAUGAUUGUGCAGAUUCUAGUGAUGAACAAAAAUGCCACGCUAAACGCGGUUGUCCAAAAGGUUUAGGGAACAACCGCUCACCGGAUGAAAAAUGCGGUUUCAAAUGUCCUAACGAACCGAAAUGGUCAACAAGAUGUGACGGAAUUCCUCUCUGCACCGAAUUCCGAUAUGAAGAA